AUUGAGGCAAAGCCUCUACCUCAGGGAAAUGACAGAACUUAUGGCUCUGACCUGAGCACUUCAGUUGGCAACAGAAAUCUAUGUAAGUACACAGACUCAAAAUAUGCUCUCACCACCCUUCAUGUUCAUGGGGGCCUUAUAUAUAUAUAAAGGAGGGGGGAUAGUUACUUCAGGAAAAAAAAGGCAUAAAAUUUGGGCAGAAAAUUCUUAACCUUCUAGAUGCAGUGUGGGAUCCCAGGAAAGUGGCAGUUAUGUGUUGAGAGCCACAGCCAUAGGGGCCCCAGCAAACUUCCAGCUGACAGCUGAUUGGCUCCUUUGCGGUGAUGCUCAUUGGGGGACUUUUUUUGGCCCCGCCCACACGACCCAGCCAACCUGCCUCAAGAGCAGGGGGGGGGGGGCGGGUUGAGAGGCUCGCUGGAAGCCUGUGGUGGCAGUUGGGCUCUGAGGGAAUUCCUGAAGAGAUCCUGGGGUGCUGCAUGUGUUCUAAAUAUAAAGUUCGUUUCUGCUUGAUAAGUGGCUCUUGAAUUGUGCCCAGCCAGACUGCGGCAGUUAUGCACUGCUGAGGCCACCAAAGAGGAAGUACCAUGGUUGCUCAGGGCAACCAGAGAGCUGCAGAGAGGCCAGGUUAGCUACUUGCAAGAAGCAGGAAAGAGAUCCAGUCCCAGGCUUAAAUGCUGCCCUUCUGCCUGACCCUCUAAGAGAGUGGGAGCCAAACUAUUCCCAACAUGAAAGUGAUUGGUUUAAGACUGAGAAAGAAAGAAUCUCCCAAGUGGAUGGUGGAGAUUUUCUGAUGGCUGCGUAGCCAACCCUGAGGGACUAGCCCCUGAUUUUACCAGACAGUUCCACAGGGAACACAUAUUGGCUGAACAGCACUUGAGACAGUUCUGAGUCAGCAUUUCUAUGUCCCCCAGCUCACAAGCACCUCCAGGGUGAUCUGUAAACAAUGUGGGGUCUGUGCCUAUGAUAAUCCUCACCAAGGGCCAGGACUUCUGUCAGGAACCCAAGCAAUAGGAAGGACACCCUUUGAAGACUUGGAAGUCGACUUCACUGAACUAUCACACCCACAGGACUAUAAAUAUCUUUUGGUUUUUGUGUGCUCUUACUCCGUUUGGGUGGAGGCCUUUCCAACCCACACUGAAAAGGCUAGAGAGAGAGCCAGGAGGCUCCUCUGAGAAAUUAUUCCCAGAUUUGUUAUCCCAAUAACUAUUGGCUCAGAUAAUGGGCCAGCAUUUGUGGCAGAGGUGAUAUAAUCAUUGGCCAAGAGUUUAAAUAUUAGAUGAAAAUCACAAUCGGCCUAUAGGCCACAGAGUUCUGGUAAAGUUGAGAGAAUGAAUAGAACUUUGAAGGCUCAACUGGGUAAACUAUGCCAGGAUACUCACCUACUUUAGGGUGAACUCCUCCCUAUUGCACUAUUGAGGAUAAGAUCACGGCCAUUAAGACGACAAAGUUCUCUCCCUGUGAGCUAUGUAUGGGAGACCUCCUCCACUUAUCAGAGGAUAACCCAGAGAGACUCGAGAGAAAUAGGAGAAUUAACACUGAGGCAAGAGCUUCAGGCCUUAGGGAAAACUUUACAGGUUCUCUACCAAUGGGCUAGAGAAAGGUUGCCAGUAAUUUUGACCACAGAUGCACACUCCUUCAAGCCCUGAGGUUCAGUCUGGGUCAAAGAAUAGGAUAUUCAGCGCCUGAAACCUCUUUGGAAGGGUCCUUUCACUGUCAUUUUGUCUACCCCAACUGUGGUUGCAGAGAUUGGUCCCUGGAUCCAUUACACCAGACUCAAGCCUGCAGCUGUGGACUGGGAGUGCACUCCAGACCCUGCUACAACCUUGCAGCUGACCAUCCGGAGGAAGGAAACACUGGAGAAGUUUGAGGAUCAGAAGGACAACAGCCCUGCUCCAGCCACUCGGGGGGGCUGGCUGAUCAACGCACGGCGGAAGAUAGACUUACCACCAGGACAAAUGGACUCUUUCAGCCUCUAAGAUACUUCUUAUACUGUAAUGCAUUGCUACCCCUUGCUUCUAGGUGUAUACAUAGUUCUCUGCUUGUUUUUUGCUAUUGGUUUGAUGAUAGUAACUCCCACUGACUGGACUUUUGGUAACAAAAUUUCAUUUAUACUUUUUUACCUUGCUUAUAUGGGAUUUCUAGGGUUUAUUUGGUGUUAUUAGUUUGGCUUUGUUAACUUAUACCCUUUAACCUAUGCAAUCCAAAAUGUUGGUCUAUCACUCAGUUGGGUUUCCUUUGAUACUCUUAGGGGACUCUGCCCUACUCCUGCCCCAACAGUGGAGAUCAUGUGAACCGUGUGUCAAGCCGAUCAAGGUGAUAGAUAACACAUAUUUAUAAAAAAUAAAAUAAAAUAAAAUAAAAAACAACCUCUCCCAAAACAAAAAUAAAACAAAACAAAAAUGAAUCCAUGAAAACAGUGAGAAACAUUCCUAUUUUGCCCUAGAGACAUGGAAACACAAAUAUCAACAUGGUGGCUUUGAGACCACCACUUAUAAAGACUCUAUGGUGGAAUACACGUAUAGCUCUCUGGGAGACUAUAUAUAUGCUUGAGCUCAUGAAUACAUGUUUGUGCAUAUGGCUAAUGAGGAUUUCAUGAAACUCGUUAUGAUGUGUUAAAUUAAUAUCAAGAUCACACUAGUGUCCUUAGAGCAAUUUUUAUCUUUUAAUCAACUUUUAUAAUUUUUCCACAUAAGUGCUUUUCUUUUUAUAUGACAUGAGUUUCUUGAGGAAGUGAGUGUUGUUUUCUCAUUGUUAUAAUUAAGAUCUGGAAUAUCCCCCAAAGACAGAUGUGGCGAAGACUUGGUCCCCAAUUAAAAAAUGUUCAGAGGUGAGGCUUUUGGGAAGUGACUGAAUCAUGAAGACUCUAAUCCCAUCAGUAGACAAUCCAUCGAUGGAUUCACAAUUUGAAUGGACUCUCAGUAGGUGGUGGAAAUUAUAGGAGGUGGGACCUAAUAGAAGGGAAUGGAUCCUUGGUACAGUGCUCUUGGCCUUUGUGUUCUCUCUCUCUCUCUCUCUCUCUCUCCUUCCUGGCCACCAUGAGGUGAGCAGCUCAGAUCCAUCAUGCCUUCUAUGCCCUGCUACUCUGUACUCUGACUCAGUACAGACCCACAGCAAUGGAACCAGCCAACCAUGGACUGAAACUUCUGAAACCAUGAACCAAAAUAAUUCUGUCCUCUUUAACUUGAUUUUCUCAGGUAUUUUGUCAUAGUGACAAAAGGUUAACUUAGAACAAAGUAAACAAUAUGUGUUCAAUGUAUUUUAGAUUAAUUAGUAAAAAUGAAUGCAUGGGAGAAUGAAAGGAA
Molecule: long non-coding RNA, 3302 nt
Filed under: Marmota monax (woodchuck)
Lineage: Eukaryota; Metazoa; Chordata; Mammalia; Rodentia; Sciuridae
Source: RNAcentral